RNAcentral lists this ribosomal RNA (460 nucleotides) under uncultured bacterium. RNAcentral describes it as "partial 16S ribosomal RNA". It matches the Rfam family "Bacterial small subunit ribosomal RNA", at positions 338 to 795 of the family's 1533-position model. The record is from RNAcentral.
CCUACGGGUGGCAGCCGUGAGGAAUAUUGGUCAAUGGGCGGAAGCCUGAACCAGCCAAGUAGCGUGCAGGAUGACGGCCCUACGGGUUGUAAACUGCUUUUAUACGGGAAUAACGCGCCUUACGUUUAUAGCUUUGCAUGUACCGUAUGAAUAAGGACCGGCUAAUUCCGUGCCAGCAGCCGCGGUAAUACGGAAGGUCCGAGCGUUAUCCGGAUUUAUUUGGUUUAAAGGGAGCGUAGGCCGCAUGUCAAGCGUGCUGUGAAAUGUCCGGGCUCAACCCGGGCCUUGCAGCGCGAACUGGCGUGCUUGAGUCCGCGGAAAGCAGGCGGAAUUCGUCGUGUAGCGGUGAAAUGCUUAGAUAUGACGAAGAACCCCGAUUGCGAAGGCAGCUUGCUGCAGCGGAACUGACGCUGAUGCUCGAAAGCGCGGGUAUCGAACAGGAUUAGAUACCCGGGUAGUC